This 253-nucleotide ribosomal RNA is filed under the name uncultured bacterium. Its description in RNAcentral is "partial 16S ribosomal RNA". It matches the Rfam family "Bacterial small subunit ribosomal RNA", at positions 524 to 776 of the family's 1533-position model. The record is from RNAcentral.
UACGUAGGGUGCGAGCGUUAAUCGGAAUUACUGGGCGUAAAGCGUGCGCAGGCGGUGAGCUGUGUCCGAUGUGAAAGCCCCGGGCUUAACCUGGGAAUGGCAUUGGAAACUGGCUCGCUGGAGUGUGGCAGAGGGGGGUGGAAUUCCGCGUGUAGCAGUGAAAUGCGUAGAGAUCCGGAGGAACACCGAUGGCGAAGGCAGGUCUCUGGGCUGACACUGACGCUCAUGCACGAAAGCGUGGGGAGCAAACAGG